RNAcentral lists this ribosomal RNA (465 nucleotides) under uncultured bacterium. RNAcentral's name for it is "partial 16S ribosomal RNA". It matches the Rfam family "Bacterial small subunit ribosomal RNA", at positions 339 to 795 of the family's 1533-position model. The record is from RNAcentral.
CUACGGGAUGCUCCAGUGAGGAAUUUUGCGCAAUGGGGGGAACCCUGACGCAGCAACGCCGCGUGAGUGAUGAAGGCUUUCGGGUCGUAAAGCUCUGUCAAGUGGGAAGAACCUAUGCAGUGUUAAUAUCACUGUAUACUGACGGUACCACUGAAGGAAGCACCGGCUAACUCCGUGCCAGCAGCCGCGGUAAUACGGGGGGUGCAAGCGUUAUUCGGAAUCAUUGGGCGUAAAGGGCACGUAGGCGGCUUGGUAAGUCAGAUGUGAAAGCCCGGGGCUUAACCCCGGAAGUGCAUUUGAUACUGUCAGGCUUGAGUAUGGGAGAGGGAAGUGGAAUUCCUGGUGUAGAGGUGAAAUUCGUAGAUAUCAGGAGGAACACCGGUGGCGAAGGCGACUUCCUGGACCAAUACUGACGCUGAGGUGCGAAGGCGUGGGUAGCAAACAGGAUUAGAUACCCCAGUAGUC